GGUCCAAUGGUGUAGUGGAAACACACUUGCUUGAAAUAAGUGCUGAUUAAAAUGCGUUACGCAAGAGAUCCUUGUUCAACUCAGGGUUGGGUCU
Molecule: non-coding RNA, 94 nt
Organism: Mycena rebaudengoi
Lineage: Eukaryota; Fungi; Basidiomycota; Agaricomycetes; Agaricales; Mycenaceae
Source: the annotation of a GenBank genome assembly